GCUCUUCCUUUGCUAGCUAUGCAUGUGUGGAGUCUGGUCACAAUAGGAAACUAGUGGGAAUCCUUAUCCAGAGUUGGUUUCAUGUCAGGUGCCAAGCACAGUCCCUGGGACCUACUGGAGGCUCCGAGAUUAUGCUGAAGACAAUUAAAACCAGACUCUGGAGGCUAGGGGAGUUUCUAAGAAAAAGAUGUCCUUUGGUGACUCCGCUUUGCAGACAUGUCAGCUGUCUAACACUGGCCCCCAGGCAGGACAGAUGAGCGUGACUGCCUCUAGAGCUCCUCAUUUCUCCGCACAGCUUUCCUGCUAGGCUGCUCAGUGACUCACAGCAGGAAGAGAAGGAAUCAGUGCUAAACUGUCCCCUAACACCUCCUUCACCAUGCCUCAAAAAACCAAAAACGACAAAAAACAACUGUUGUUACUUUGGGCUGCCGGGCCCAUCACUUUCUGCAUUUCAGUUCCUUAUUCUGUAGAAAUCGUGAGUUGAAAUGGGAGACCUAAGUUUCCUUCAGGCUCCAAACUUUGAGUCUUCGAUCCUACUGCUGGGCUAUGGUCAGCUCAUCCCCCUGCCCUCCUCCCACUCUGCAGAGUAGAUCAGGCCCGGUUCCCAAGGAACAAGACCUGCACCCACCCCAGCCCCUGGGGCUGCCCUUCUGUAGCAUGUGUUUCUUUGUUGUCUGCCUCUGUGCUCUCCUGCUGUACCCUUCAUUCUGUGGAUCAAGCCUGCUCUCAAUGGCCAUUUUAAUCAGAUUUUAUCUCUGUAAAAAUGGUAAGUGAUAAAUUUAGAACAUUACAUAUGCCAUGAUGCUAUUUAUGUGUUUUAUUUUAAACUUCAUAUGCCGGACUUUUGUCUGCUUGCUCUCAGAUCUAUUCCAGACCAUCCUCUAUCUGGGCUUUGUAUCCUUGGGAACUACAUUUUCCAGGCUCAUUUCCAGACCGGCUAAAGAGAGCCAGUGAUGGACACUGGAGAAUGCAGGAAGGGAAGAAGCCAGGUUAUGUCUCCCUUUCUCUCUGCUUCACAUGUCUGACGGGUCUUGUCCAUGAUUCCACCUGCUGCCAGAUAGCCCCCUCCUCCACUGCUCCAGAUUGAGCUGGAGGUGCUGCCAUGAUCCCAGAUUCUUCCAGGUGACCCAAACUCCUGGCUCUGGUAACUCUGCUUCCUCCCUCUAUCUCUCCAGCCCCAUGGUUGAUAGUGGCUUCCUGCUGCUCUCUGGCCACUGAACUCCUCCACCAUCUGUGUUGAAUUCCCUCUGUUUGCAAUGUCAUAUCUGGCAUGGCUCUGCCUCCUAAUGGUACUCUGACUAAAACACUGUGGAGUUUGUGUCUGGGAAAGGAAUGGGACUGGGCUGAUGUGGAGUUUUGAAGGGGGACCAUGGCUUUUUUAAAAGUAGCUUUAUGUUGGCAUAAUUUACAUAUAAAAGACUGUCGCUUUUA
This is a long non-coding RNA of Sapajus apella (tufted capuchin), 1431 nucleotides long. RefSeq lists it as uncharacterized. Lineage: Eukaryota; Metazoa; Chordata; Mammalia; Primates; Cebidae. The record is from RefSeq and is a predicted model, not a curated record. The transcript is spliced from 2 exons.